UUUUUUUUGAUUUUUAAAUUCUUGGCUUUCAAAUUCUUUGAUUUUUGCAUUCCUGAUGAAGGAAAUUCCAGAAAAGCGCUUUGGAUGCAUGAAAUUCAUAACAUGUUGUUUUCAUUUUAUUGUUUAGAGAAAAUCAUGUAAAUGUUAUGAAAAUUUGCUAGACUAAGAAGUAAUUUGUACAUUUUGUUUUUAGGAACACAC
RNAcentral lists this long non-coding RNA (201 nucleotides) under Mytilus galloprovincialis (Mediterranean mussel). The record is from RNAcentral. Lineage: Eukaryota; Metazoa; Mollusca; Bivalvia; Mytilida; Mytilidae.